GACGAACGCUGGCGGCGUGCCUAAUACAUGCAAGUAGAACGCUGAAGGAGGAGCUUGCUUCUCUGGAUGAGUUGCGAACGGGUGAGUAACGCGUAGGUAACCUGCCUGGUAGCGGGGGAUAACUAUUGGAAACGAUAGCUAAUACCGCAUAAGAGUAGAUGUUGCAUGACAUUUGCUUAAAAGGUGCAAUUGCAUCACUACCAGAUGGACCUGCGUUGUAUUAGCUAGUUGGUGGGGUAACGGCUCACCAAGGCGACGAUACAUAGCCGACCUGAGAGGGUUAUCGGCCACACUGGGACUGAGACACGGCCCAGACUCCUACGGGAGGCAGCAGUAGGGAAUCUUCGGCAAUUGACGGAAGUCUGACCGAGCAACGCCGCGGGAGUGAAGAAGGGUUUCGGAUCGUAAAGCUCUGUUGUAAGAGAAGAACGAGUGUGAGAGUGGAAAGUUCACACUGUGACGGUAGCUUACCAGAAAGGGACGGCUAACUACGUG
This 495-nucleotide ribosomal RNA is filed under the name uncultured bacterium. Its description in RNAcentral is "partial 16S ribosomal RNA". It matches the Rfam family "Bacterial small subunit ribosomal RNA", at positions 28 to 507 of the family's 1533-position model. The record is from RNAcentral.